GGAGAGGUGCCGGAGUGGACGAACGGGCUUGCCUGGAGAGCAAGUGUGCCCUUUGGGUACCGUGGGUUCGAAUCCCACCCUCUCCG
RNAcentral lists this transfer RNA (86 nucleotides) under Caldifarciminota bacterium JGI_Cruoil_03_51_56. RNAcentral describes it as "tRNA-Ser". It matches the Rfam family "tRNA". From Rfam's summary of the family: Transfer RNA (tRNA) molecules are approximately 80 nucleotides in length. Their secondary structure includes four short double-helical elements and three loops (D, anti-codon, and T loops). Lineage: Bacteria; Pseudomonadati; Caldifarciminota. The record is from RNAcentral.